ACAUGCUGUGAGCUCGAUGAGUAGGGCGGGACACGUGGUAUCCUGUCUGAAUAUGGGGGGACCAUCCUCCAAGGCUAAAUACUCCUGACUGACCGAUAGUGAACCAGUACCGUGAGGGAAAGGCGAAAAGAACCCCGGCGAGGGGAGUGAAAAAGAACCUGAAACCGUGUACGUACAAGCAGUGGGAGCACGCUUAGGCGUGUGACUGCGUACCUUUUGUAUAAUGGGUCAGCGACUUAUAUUCUGUAGCAAGGUUAACCGAAUAGGGGAGCCGAAGGGAAACCGAGUCUUAACUGGGCGUUAAGUUGCAGGGUAUAGACCCGAAACCCGGUGAUCUAGCCAUGGGCAGGUUGAAGGUUGGGUAACACUAACUGGAGGACCGAACCGACUAAUGUUGAAAAAUUAGCGGAUGACUUGUGGCUGGGGGUGAAAGGCCAAUCAAACCGGGAGAUAGCUGGUUCUCCCCGAAAGCUAUUUAGGUAGCGCCUCGUGAAUUCAUCUCCGGGGGUAGAGCACUGUUUCGGCAAGGGGGUCAUCCCGACUUACCAACCCGAUGCAAACUGCGAAUACCGGAGAAUGUUAUCACGGGAGACACACGGCGGGUGCUAACGUCCGUCGUGAAGAGGGAAACAACCCAGACCGCCAGCUAAGGUCCCAAAGUCAUGGUUAAGUGGGAAACGAUGUGGGAAGGCCCAGACAGCCAGGAUGUUGGCUUAGAAGCAGCCAUCAUUUAAAGAAAGCGUAAUAGCUCACUGGUCGAGUCGGCCUGCGCGGAAGAUGUAACGGGGCUAAACCAUGCACCGAAGCUGCGGCAGCGACACUAUGUGUUGUUGGGUAGGGGAGCGUUCUGUAAGCCUGUGAAGGUGUGCUGUGAGGCAUGCUGGAGGUAUCAGAAGUGCGAAUGCUGACAUAAGUAACGAUAAAGCGGGUGAAAAGCCCGCUCGCCGGAAGACCAAGGGUUCCUGUCCAACGUUAAUCGGGGCAGGGUGAGUCGACCCCUAAGGCGAGGCCGAAAGGCGUAGUCGAUGGGAAACAGGUUAAUAUUCCUGUACUUGGUGUUACUGCGAAGGGGGGACGGAGAAGGCUAUGUUGGCCGGGCGACGGUUGUCCCGGUUUAAGCGUGUAGGCUGGUUUUCCAGGCAAAUCCGGAAAAUCAAGGCUGAGGCGUGAUGACGAGGCACUACGGUGCUGAAGCAACAAAUGCCCUGCU
Molecule: ribosomal RNA, 1210 nt
Filed under: Escherichia coli
Lineage: Bacteria; Pseudomonadati; Pseudomonadota; Gammaproteobacteria; Enterobacterales; Enterobacteriaceae
Description: partial 23S ribosomal RNA
Rfam family: Bacterial large subunit ribosomal RNA
Source: RNAcentral